This 85-nucleotide transfer RNA is filed under the name Methanobacteriota archaeon. RNAcentral describes it as "Euryarchaeota archaeon (hot springs metagenome) tRNA-Leu". It matches the Rfam family "tRNA". From Rfam's summary of the family: Transfer RNA (tRNA) molecules are approximately 80 nucleotides in length. Their secondary structure includes four short double-helical elements and three loops (D, anti-codon, and T loops). Lineage: Archaea; Methanobacteriati; Methanobacteriota. The record is from RNAcentral.
GCGGGAGUAGCUCAGCUUGGUCAAAGGCGCUAGAUUCAGGGUCUAGUUCCGAAGGGAUUCACCGGUUCAAAUCCGGUCUCCCGCA